RNAcentral lists this ribosomal RNA (814 nucleotides) under uncultured bacterium. RNAcentral's name for it is "bacterial SSU rRNA". It matches the Rfam family "Bacterial small subunit ribosomal RNA", at positions 51 to 859 of the family's 1533-position model. The record is from RNAcentral.
ACACAUGCAAGUCGAACGGCAGCACGGGAGCAAUCCUGGUGGCGAGUGGCGAACGGGUGAGUAAUAUAUCGGAACGUGCCCAGUCGUGGGGGAUAACGCAGCGAAAGCUGUGCUAAUACCGCAUACGAUCUCUGGAUGAAAGCGGGGGACUCGCAAGGGCCUCGCGCGAUUGGAGCGGCCGAUAUCAGAUUAGCUAGUUGGUGGGGUAAAGGCCCACCAAGGCGACGAUCUGUAGCUGGUCUGAGAGGACGACCAGCCACACUGGAACUGAGACACGGUCCAGACUCCUACGGGAGGCAGCAGUGGGGAAUUUUGGACAAUGGGCGCAAGCCUGAUCCAGCAAUGCCGCGUGCAGGAUGAAGGCCUUCGGGUUGUAAACUGCUUUUGUACGGAACGAAACGGUCUGCCUUAAUACGGUGGGCUAAUGACGGUACCGUAAGAAUAAGCACCGGCUAACUACGUGCCAGCAGCCGCGGUAAUACGUAGGGUGCGAGCGUUAAUCGGAAUUACUGGGCGUAAAGCGUGCGCAGGCGGUUAUAUAAGACAGAUGUGAAAUCCCCGGGCUCAACCUGGGACCUGCAUUUGUGACUGUAUAGCUAGAGUACGGUAGAGGGGGAUGGAAUUCCGCGUGUAGCAGUGAAAUGCGUAGAUAUGCGGAGGAACACCGAUGGCGAGGGCAAUCCCCUGGACCUGUACUGACGCUCAUGCACGAAAGCGUGGGGAGCAAACAGGAUUAGAUACCCUGGUAGUCCACGCCCUAAACGAUGUCAACUGGUUGUUGGGUCUUCACUGACUCAGUAACGAAGCUAACGCG